AAACAUCGCCUCUUGCCACCUAUAAGAGGUCCAGCCUGCCCAGUGACUCUGUUCAACGGCCGCGGUAUCCUAACCGUGCGAAGGUAGCGUAAUCACUUGUUCUUUAAAUGAGGACUAGUAUGAAUGGCAUCACGAGGGUUAUACUGUCUCCUUUUUCUGAUCAGUGAAACUAAUCUUCCCGUGAAGAAGCGGGAGUAAACGUAUAAGACGAGAAGACCCUAUGGAGCUUUAAACUCAAUAACACUUGCUUUUAAACAUGAACACUUCAGAGUAAUAAAUACCUAUUACGGCCUCCUGAUUAUUAGUUUUAGGUUGGGGUGACCGCGGAGCAAAAAACAACCUCCACAUUGAACGGGGAAAAAUCCCCUGAGCCACGAGCUACAACUCUAUGCACCAAUAAAUUGACAUUUCUUGACCCAAUAUAUUGAUCAACGAACCAAGUUACCCUAGGGAUAACAGCGCAAUUCGCCUCAAGAGCUCCUAUCGACAGGCGGGUUUACGACCUCGAUGUUGGAUCAGGGUAUCCCAGUGGUGCAGCCGCUACUAAAGGUNCGUUUGUUCAACGAUUAAAACCCUACGUGAUCNGA
This 587-nucleotide ribosomal RNA is filed under the name Mesobatrachia sp. CZE4. RNAcentral's name for it is "partial 16S ribosomal RNA". It matches the Rfam family "Bacterial large subunit ribosomal RNA", at positions 1811 to 2608 of the family's 2925-position model. The record is from RNAcentral. Lineage: Eukaryota; Metazoa; Chordata; Amphibia; Anura.